Molecule: ribosomal RNA, 253 nt
Filed under: uncultured bacterium
Lineage: Bacteria
Description: partial 16S ribosomal RNA
Rfam family: Bacterial small subunit ribosomal RNA
Source: RNAcentral
UACGAAGGGGGCUAGCGUUGCUCGGAAUCACUGGGCGUAAAGGGUGCGUAGGCGGGUUUUUAAGUCAGAGGUGAAAUCCCAAGGCUCAACCUUGGAACUGCCUUUGAUACUGGGGAUCUUGAGUCCGGGAGAGGUGAGUGGAACUGCGAGUGUAGAGGUGAAAUUCGUAGAUAUUCGCAAGAACACCAGUGGCGAAGGCGGCUCACUGGCCCGGUACUGACGCUGAGGUGCGAAAGCGUGGGGAGCAAACAGG